GACAGAGGUGCCGAGCGUUAGGCGGAAUCACUGGGCUUAAAGCGUGUGUAGGCGGAUUGGUAAGUACCUUGUGAAAUCCCACGGCUUAACCGUGGAACUGCUUGGUAUACUGCCUGUCUUGAGCCAGCUAGGGGCGACCGGAACAAAUGGUGGAGCGGUGAAAUGCGUAGAUAUCAUUUGGAACGCCAAUGGUGAAAACAGGUCGCUGGGGCUGUGCUGACGCUGAGACACGAAAGCCAGGGGAGCAAACGGG
RNAcentral lists this ribosomal RNA (253 nucleotides) under uncultured bacterium. RNAcentral describes it as "partial 16S ribosomal RNA". It matches the Rfam family "Bacterial small subunit ribosomal RNA", at positions 524 to 776 of the family's 1533-position model. The record is from RNAcentral.